Molecule: long non-coding RNA, 708 nt
Organism: Daphnia pulex (common water flea)
Lineage: Eukaryota; Metazoa; Arthropoda; Branchiopoda; Diplostraca; Daphniidae
Exons: 2
Source: RefSeq, a predicted model, not a curated record
UUUUGUGAACGAGAAUUAUUUGCGGUAAAUUCCUUCCAGCGGAGUAAAUUUGUUGUACGUGUAGAGGUCGGAUCCACCGUAACCGUAGUACAAAUGUCCCUUACCCGAUCCGUCGUAAUAAGGAUAACGAUAUGGCGGUCUAGAAAAGGAAAGAACUCAAAUCAGCUGGCCAGUGAUUUAACUAAUCAAGUCUCUUUUCAAAUCUCACCUUUGAUAGUAAGGAAAAGGAAUCUUGCCGGCCGCGUAACAGCAUGCCAUCACAGCAGCCAGGAACAAUAAAACCAUCUAUUCGUGAACAAGACAUUCAACAGGAUUAAGAUUGAGGGGAAACGAUAAAAUGGGAUCUGCAUCUCUUUCUAGGUCGGCAGACGAAUUUUUCCGUUUGGCCUUCACAGUCUGAACUGUUUGAUGUUCACCGAAGGAGAAAGCUCCAUACGUGAUGGGCCACUAAUACUUGACGCACUACUUGCAUUGACCCUUAUCAUUCCAAAUGAUUAGAAUUCUAAAUCAAGGGAAAGUUUUUCUCUUUCUUAUCUUAUCAAUCAGUCGAAUAAAGAAUAUGUCGCUAUAAGAAAAGAAUGUUUCGUGUAUGAACCAGUCGAAUUUUUUUGAUUAUGUACAAGGAAUUUGUUUUCCCUAAAAUGUUGUUUCUCUCUCAGUUAUGGUAAUAUGCAGGUCUGGCAGGUCUUUCCACUGAUCGAAGUCCUC